UACACAUCUUUCAUAUGAUGAAUACCAUGCGAACCAAGUACUUUUAGGAAGAGCCGGAAGAGGUAUGGCAACCGUUACCACAUGGGACGGGUUAAUUUAAUUAUUUGUGUCGUCGAUGCUUAUAACGGUUCUGCUGAAGAAAGCUGUGUA
Molecule: small nucleolar RNA, 150 nt
Filed under: Nannizzia gypsea CBS 118893
Lineage: Eukaryota; Fungi; Ascomycota; Eurotiomycetes; Onygenales; Arthrodermataceae
Description: Arthroderma gypseum CBS 118893 A. fumigatus snoRNA Afu_198
Rfam family: A. fumigatus snoRNA Afu_198
Source: Rfam by way of RNAcentral